GUUGCUAGAUCUUGCUAAGAAAAGAGGACAGGGGAGAAGUGGGAUUUGGGGUGGAGUGCGGUGGCUCCAGGCUCCCGACGGCGGCAUGUCAUCCAGCUCGACCACACGUGCCUGCAGCUCGCCGCCGUCAUCGAUUGGAUGGCCAUGGAGUUGGGUCCACUUGAACAUGAGGGGUGGCACUCCUCUAGGUAAUCACUCAUCUUCCUCUCCUUCUCCUUCCUUCCCAGAUCUUGGUCUGCUAACCUCCAGCAAUGGCAUGGAUUCUUUAUGGAGAUUUGCUAUGGCUAUGAGAAGGGGAUGAUUAAGGUCACCUGACCUUUCUCCGUCUUUUCCGGUGUAGAAAUUUUCUCUUGGAGAGAAGGAUUUUUUGCCCCCAAGCAGCAAGGCUUCGAGGCCACCGGAGAAAAUAAGAGAUUCGUUUCACUGAGUGGCGUUGCUCUCCAGUUCGUGGCGCUGGCCUAGAGCUGUGUCGUCGGGUUGGACGGCCAUGUUCUUCAUAGUGUUCUAGGAUAUAACUUAUGUCACUUGCCAUUGAUGUGCCUUGCGUUGUUUUAGGGAAUCGAACCUAUUUUUUUAGUUGACAUUCUGCCCAACUUUGAUUAUUGUCUCUUCAAGACAACCGUAAUAAUUAUAUGAAGUUUCCUAUAGCAAAAAGUGUUCAAUAUUUGUUGGAUAAAAGGUGUGUUCUUUCUAUAUGUUGUUACCAUAUAUUAGCAACUUAUAUUAAUAAUAGGUGUAUUUAAGACAAAGAAAGAAGGCUUGCAUGUAUUCACUGACUUUGGCCCAUAUGUGUUAAUUGAUAUGCAAUAGAUUUUAGUUUUUUCACAUGUGUUGUGGGAGAUGCCUAUAACACUGAAGCUUUUCUCUUUGUUCUCUUCAACUGAAAAGGCUGUAGGAUAGAAGGGUUGUUUCCAAGAACAACAUAAAACUCACAAAAGUGCAUGUAUGAAUGUGUUUCGAAUAAUUACAAUUUGACAUGUUUCUCAUAGUGCUAAGUUUUGACCCUUAUCUAAUAAUAAUAAUUGUCCGCCUUAUACUGAUCUUUGUCAAGCAUUAUUUCUCUAUCUCAGUAAACAUAAAUGGUUUGCUUGGUGCUUCUGAGAUCUUCCCAUCCAAUAAGUUUAGCAAUUUUUACAUACCACUCUCAUUAAGAGUAAAUAUAAUAUGGAAGUUCUCAUUCAAAUUGGCAGAAUAUGCUUACCAGGUGUUAUGGUUUCUUGAUAUGUACCACAAUUUUCGCAGUAGGACUUUCCACUUUCCUUUGUAGUUAGUUUGUGUCAAUCAGAAUUUGAUCAUUUGAAUAUUUUUGUGUAAUAGAUUAUUAUACAUAUUGUUGUGAAAAACAAAAUCGUAAAAAAAUCACCCAAAAACUUAGCAUCCCGAAGAAGUUGAGAGACAAAUAAUUUAGAUAUGACUCCACUAUAACUGAUAUGACUCAAUUGUCAGAAAAGCACUACAGGUCUGAGAGUCUCGUUUCCUCAAGAAGUGGUGAUAUCAUAUCUUAGAAGAAGUUUGAACCAUCACCUGACUUGUCUUGGUUUUGUGCCUCAUUCCAGU
Molecule: long non-coding RNA, 1557 nt
Filed under: Triticum aestivum (bread wheat)
Lineage: Eukaryota; Viridiplantae; Streptophyta; Magnoliopsida; Poales; Poaceae
Description: long non-coding RNA (TAES_LNC001036)
Source: RNAcentral